This 372-nucleotide ribosomal RNA is filed under the name uncultured bacterium. RNAcentral describes it as "partial 16S ribosomal RNA". It matches the Rfam family "Bacterial small subunit ribosomal RNA", at positions 338 to 724 of the family's 1533-position model. The record is from RNAcentral.
CCUACGGGGGGCUGCAGUGGGGAAUAUUGGGCAAUGGGCGCAAGCCUGACCCAGCAACGCCGCGUGAAGGAAGAAGGCUUUCGGGUUGUAAACUUCUGUUCUCAGGGACGAAGCAAGUGACGGUACCUGAGGAAUAAGCCACGCCUAACUACGUGCCAGCGGCCGCGGUAAUAUGUAGGUGGCAAGCGUUAUCCGGAUUUACUGGGUGUAAGGGGCGUGUAGGCGGGAAAGCACUUCGGAUUUGAAAACCAUGGGCUCAACCUGUGGCCUGCAUUUGGAAGUGUUAUGCUAGAGUACUGGAGAGGAAGACGGAACUCCUAGUGUAGCGGUGAAAUGCGUAGAUAUUAGGAGGAACACCAGUGGCGAAGGCGG